RNAcentral lists this ribosomal RNA (497 nucleotides) under uncultured bacterium. RNAcentral's name for it is "partial 16S ribosomal RNA". It matches the Rfam family "Bacterial small subunit ribosomal RNA", at positions 28 to 507 of the family's 1533-position model. The record is from RNAcentral.
GAUGAACGCUGGCGGCGUGCCUAAUACAUGCAAGUCGAGCGAACAGACGAGGAGCUUGCUCCUCUGACGUUAGCGGCGGACGGGUGAGUAACACGUGGAUAACCUACCUAUAAGACUGGGAUAACUUCGGGAAACCGGUGCUACUACCGGAUAAUAUAUUGAACCGCAUGGUUCAAUAGUGAAAGACGGUUUUGCUGUCACUUAUAGAUGGAUCCGCGCCGCAUUAGCUAGUUGGUAAGGUAACGGCUUACCAAGGCAACGAUGCGUAGCCGACCUGAGAGGGUGAUCGGCCACACUGGAACUGAGACACGGUCCAGACUCCUACGGGAGGCAGCAGUAGGGAAUCUUCCGCAAUGGGCGAAAGCCUGACGGAGCAACGCCGCGUGAGUGAUGAAGGUCUUCGGAUCGUAAAACUCUGUUAUUAGGGAAGAACAAAUGUGUAAGUAACUAUGCACGUCUUGACGGUACCUAAUCAGAAAGCCACGGCUAACUACGUG